This 4794-nucleotide long non-coding RNA is filed under the name Bemisia tabaci. RNAcentral's name for it is "lncRNA ENSSSA1NGG003162". Lineage: Eukaryota; Metazoa; Arthropoda; Insecta; Hemiptera; Aleyrodidae. The record is from RNAcentral.
AAACACCUUUAACAACGACGUACAUUUUUGGUCGCGCCAUUUUCUCUGUCGAUACAAAUCCCUAGUAGCAAAAAUACGUAUCCUCAUCCCCACAGUAAUACGUCUCAGAGAGAUACGUAUAAAUAUCGUAUUGAAUACGUAUUUAUACUAUUUUUAUACUGUAUCAAUAUUUAAUAUCCAAUACCUCUAUUUAAUACGUAUUUAUACUAUUUUUAUACUGUAUCAAUAUUCGAUAUUCGAUCAUCGCUAUUCAAUACGUAUUUAUCUUACACUUGAACCGUAUCAGAAUAUUCAAUUAAUAUCGGAUCCAAAUAUAGGUAUUUAUACCAGAUAUUUAAAAUUGCGCGCCACGUGGCUGCGAUGCCGACGGAAACGGUUACUGGUUCCGGCUCUCACCGAACAUCGGGACCCCCGGCGCCGGCAGUGUUUUGUUUUGUUCGCGCGUAAUUUUGCAUGCAUUUGCAUUUGCACUGGUGUAAUUGAAGUUCUUGUAAGGUGCACGAUGGAGUCGAAUGAAGAAAUUGCUUCAGCUUCAAUUAAUACCGAGAAGGAUUGGACCAUAGUUUCGUAUAAAAACAUUAAAGGAGUAACCGUCUUUGACGUAAUUCCAAAUUUGUGGUUUAUAGAUGACAAGCACGAAAAAUGCUAUUAUCCGCCCUCAAUGCCUAAAUAUAGAGCCAAAAAUAAAGCGAAGCCGGAGCCUCACUGGGAACAGCUACGAGUGAAGGAGACAAAAUAUCAAUACUGUGUCUAUGAUCACGCCUGGGAGAAUUCUUGCCGCCUAAACUCCAAUCGCAACACCAAAAGUGCAUCGGACAAUGAGAAAAAGGGCAUCGGAUGCAGAAAGCGAAAACUUCGAGUUUUGUUUUCGCCAACACCUUCAGAGAAUAAGGUCAAGAGUUCUGCUGCUCCAGACCAAAUGGUCUUCCCUGCCCCUCCAAAGAUAACGAAUAACAAAAAUCAAAAAUCGACUUUUGAAAGUAAACUAGUCUUCCCUGCCCCUCCGAUUUCAACGAACAACAAAAAUAUUAAAUCAAAAAUUGAAAGUGAAGCAGAUGAAUCAGAUUCUAGACACUCUCCGAGUCUUCUGGGUCUGUCUUAUUUUGAUGAAAGAAAUCGCAGCAAGCGCAAUUCAGAUGUCAAGCGCAAUUCAGAUGUCAAUUUUGAUGAGGACAAUAACGUUGUCAACAGUGAUAUCAACAAUGAUAUCAACAGUGAUAUCAACAAUGAUAUCAACAGUGAUAUCAACAAUGAUAUCAACAGUGAUAUCAACAGUGAUUCCACCGGUCACACUUUGGCUUCCAUUGGCCAAGCCAUUUGCAGUUUGUCAAGCAAACUUUCUAAAGUUUCCAAAAAAAUAGAAACGUUGAGUGCAUUAGUCGAAAGUUUAGUCGAAAUUGAAAAACAAAGAGGGUCGGUUCCACCAAAAAAAUCUGAUCAAGAGAUCUUAGCGGACUUUCCCUUUACUGAUCCUGAGAAAUUGGUGGCAUACGAUGACAAAUUACGAGCGGAUGAGCAACUUUAUAACGCAGCGAAAAAUGCCCUUAAAGGGAAGGUUGAAAAAACCGGAGUCGUUGCCACUGCGAGAGGGUUUAUUAGAAAAAUAUUAGACCCUUCACUCUUUGUGCAUUUCAACUGGAAAGGACAAGGAGACCCAAAUAAAAGUGCUUUCACGGAUAUGAAAUUCUAUGAAAUGCAAAAAAGUAUCGUUACUGAAUUGUGGGGCGAUAGUCAUGCCGUUUUAUCAAAACUUGACAAGACUUGCAGCACAUUUUUGGUGCAAGAGGCGGGCAAGUUAAAGAGGCGCAAUCAGGAAAUUCCAGAUUCUGCUGAGAUGGAUGAUUCCAGUUCCGAAGAGGAAAAUUCGGAAAAUGAAUCAGCAACUGAAGAUGAUGCCUCUCUCUCCCACUGAUAGUAUUUCGUGAGAAUUUUCCUUUUUUUAGUUACCAUGUUACUUAUGCAUAUCUCCAAAAAUUUAUUUUCCUUGGUCAUUAUUCUUUGUCUGUAUUGUUCUUAUUUAAGUAUGUCUUGAUACUUAAUUGUCAGUAGCCAAAACUCUGAAUAUUAUUUUCACUGGCUGUGUGCAACAUUUUUUACACAACUACCAAGAUUUCGACCUUAGUCAAAUUUCGGUUAAUUUGUUCAACUCAAAGUGUUAAAAACACUUUAUAAAUAACUUAAGUUCAUUGUGUUUAUGUUCGAAAGUGUCAUAAAGUCUCUUGCAACUGUCAUGGAGUUCAUUAAAACAAUAAGCCUAAUGAUGCAAUGAACAUUAGAGGGGCUUGGAGGACAAGGCGCAUAAGUGCAUUGUUUGAAAAAAUUGAGAUAUUAAUGUUUCAUCCUAAAGUAGUUCUAAAAUAUAUUCUGUGACAAAUUCACCACAAAAAUUCAAUUCAAAGCAUCAAAAAGUGAGUUCCACUGUUUUUUUCUGAAAGUUUUUUUCUGGUGUGGGCUGUGUGUAAUUUUAAAACUUUAAAUGCAUAUUUCUUGAAAGAGCAAAACCCGCACUUUUGCGCCUUGUCCUCCAAGCUCCUCAUUUAACAAAUUAGCUUUUUGCUGCAAUAAAUAUUUAGCCUGUGAUUUUUUGUAAGGUAUUUAUCUGACUUUAGUCAUUUGUCAGCAAACUAUUUCGUUUGAAAUAUUUGUACUUGUGCUUCUAGUUUUUUCUCUCAUACUCAUUACUAUUUUCAACUAUUCAUUCAAUACGGUGGCCAAAUAUUUCUUGAAAUUAUUUGUUUUUGUGCCUUUAGUUUUUUCUCUCAUACUCAUUAAUAUUUUCCAAGUGCUCUAAAUAUUGUUUGUGUAAGUUGUCAAAUGAAAGUGUUCUAUUUUAUCCAUUCUUGAAAAGUUUUCUCUAAGAUGAGCUUUUCACAUUCAUUUUUGGAAAUGUAAUGUAGUCUCUAAUUUCUUUUCUGAAUGACAAGUGGACGUCUUCAACAAUGUGUUCCACUGAAUGUUGCGUUGUUGAUUUUGCACAAGAGAUCUCUUAGUCUUUGAUCUCAUUAUUGUUUAAUUCACAUUGUUUUGUUUCCUUAAAGUGUCCAAAUAAUACCUUGAAGGUUUACUCUUAACGGGUUUAAAUAAGACUUGUUUUUUCUAUGACUUUUUUGUUUCUGCAAAGUGUCUAAAUAUUUCCGUGUAAUACCUUGAAGGUUUACUCGACAGGUUUAAGUAAGACUCAUUUUUUCUAUGACUUUUUUUGUUUCCUCAAAGUGUCCAAAAUCCAUGUAAUACCUUGAAGGUUUACUCAAUGGGUUUAAAUAAGACUUGUUUUUUCUAUGACUUUAUUAAUAUAAAAAGUGGACGUCUUCAACAAUGUGUUCCACUGAAUGUUGCGUUGUUGAUUUUGCACAAGAGAUCUCUUAGUCUUAUAUCUCAUUAUUGUUUAAUUCACAUUGUUUUGUUUCCUUAAAGUGUCCAAAUAAUACCUUGAAGGUUUACUCUUAACGGGUUUAAAUAAGACUUGUUUUUUCUAUGACUUUUUUGUUUCUGCAAAGUGUCUAAAUAUUUCCGUGUAAUACCUUGAAGGUUUACUCGACAGGUUUAGGUAAGACUCAUUUUUUCUAUGACUUUUUUGUUUCCUCAAAGUGUCCAAAAUCCAUGUAAUACCUUGAAGGUUUACUCAAUGGGUUUAAAUAAGACUUGUUUUUUCUAUGACUUUAUUAAUAUAAAAAGUUUUGUUCCUUCAUAUUUCUUUGUUCUUAUAAAUUUGUAUUUUUCUCCUGUAAUUGUUUGAAACCGUUUCAAAGUUUUCUUCAGCAUUUCUAAUGUAAAGCUUUUAAGCAUAUAUAUACAUUUUUUAAAUUCAUCCAAACCUUAAAGGAACCUAAAAAAACAUAGUAUGUGGGCUUUCAAAUAAAUUUGAAUGUAUAGUUAUUUUUUUCUUGGAAAUGGAAGAAGAAAAUUUUGAAGUGUCUCCAUGGAAUUUUCUUGUUAUUGGACAUGAAUUUUCGUCCUUCACACAAAUCGACUUGACUGGAUUGCAACAUUUCUGUUACCAGGUCAACACUUCACUCUCAAUUUAUGAAAAGUUUGGUAUUUUAGCCUGAAAAUAACAGUUUUCGUCAAGAAAGAUAAAUUCAUUUUUCUAGCAAAAAUGUGUAAAAAUGAUACGUUGACAGAGUUACUGAAAUGUCUCAGUCCAGAUGUGUUGCUUUAUGUGGGGGAUGGUGACUUACGCCUAAUAAAAAAUAUAAGACAGGGUGUCUACAGGUCUGGAAAACCGGGAAAAUUCAGAGAAUUUUAUCAAAAAGACCGGAAAAGUUUGUUUCUUCCCAAAUCUGUAGACACUCCGUAUGAAUACACCAUUAAUACUGAAUAAAAAUAUUUUUGAGACUUGCACAAGAAAGUUAUCGAAAAAAUUUUUGGUACUCACUCGCGCGAUAAAUUUAUAUUGCGGACGCGUUUCGCCGGCUCUCUCUCCGGCAUCCACAGCGCAACUCCACGCGGGGUCGCGCUGAGGAUGCCGAAGAGAGAGCUGGCGAAACGCAUUCGCAAUAUAAAUUAAUCGCGCAAGUGAGUGCCAGAAAUUUUUUCGACCAUUAAUAAGUAAUGUGUAAAUAUAGUAUUAAUACUGUAUAAAUAUCAUAUCCAAAUACGGUAUAAAUAUGAUACCUAUAUACAGUAUUUUAAACCCUGGAAAUACUGGAAAAAAUACCAUAUUUUAUCAUGUAUUAAAUACGAGAUAAAAUAUCUAUUUUCAAAGUAUAAAAUACGUAUUUUGAUACAGAUAAAUACCGUAUCUUGAAAUAGUAUUUUAUUCGUAUUUUUGCUACUAGGGAUGUCGUGGAUCGC